RNAcentral lists this ribosomal RNA (437 nucleotides) under uncultured bacterium. RNAcentral's name for it is "bacterial SSU rRNA". It matches the Rfam family "Bacterial small subunit ribosomal RNA", at positions 341 to 792 of the family's 1533-position model. The record is from RNAcentral.
ACGGGAGGCAGCAGUGGGGAAUAUUGGGCAAUGGAGGCAACUCUGACCCAGCAAUGCCGCGUGAAUGAAGAAGGUCUUCGGAUUGUAAAGUUCUUUAAUCAGGGACGAACAAGGUGACGGUACCUGAGGAAUAAGCCACGGCAAACUAUGUGCCAGCAGCCGCGGUAAUACAUAGGUGGCAAGCGUUGUCCGGAAUGACUGGGCGUAAAGGGAGCGUAGGCGGUCUGUUAAGUUGGGAGUGAAAUCCCGGGGCUCAACCCCGGAACUGCUUUCAAGACUGACGGACUUGAGUGUAAGAGGGGUAAGCGGAAUUCCUAGUGUAGCGGUGGAAUGCGUAGAUAUUAGGAGGAACACCAGUGGCGAAGGCGGCUUACUGGAUUAUAACUGACGCUGAGGCUCGAAAGCGUGGGUAGCAAACAGGAUUAGAUACCCUGGUA